Long non-coding RNA from Oxyura jamaicensis (ruddy duck), 1455 nucleotides. RefSeq lists it as uncharacterized. Lineage: Eukaryota; Metazoa; Chordata; Aves; Anseriformes; Anatidae. The transcript has 5 exons. The record is from RefSeq and is a predicted model, not a curated record.
GGAGAAGUGCAGGGAUUUUCUUUCAGUAACGGGUUUUGAAGGACUUCUCCAGUUAUCUGGGAAAAAUUAUCACAGGAUAUCAGAAAGAAAAACUCCUUGGAAGAAAGGUUCUGUGAACAAGAUUUGUCUGAAUGGUUCUCAGGGAGAAUUCUUACCAGAAAAUGACUCUGUCAAGUUCCUGGUAACCUGUUCUGUUGAACUAUGGAACCCUUUCACCAAAACAAGAGAGAUGAUAACUAGUCUCGUCCGGUAUUCUCCAAGCUCCCAGUAAGUACUAUCAAUAUUAUUCAGGUUCAAACCUGCAAGGUUUUCUUAGCAUGCCCAACUUCUGCUAAUUAUUGCUGACUCUGAAGAAAUUAUAUAAACUUGUGCUUCAUUUUUCCUAUUGGAAAAAGUCCAUUCAGAUCAUUUGGGCUUCUCAGCUGCAUAAAGAUACUGCAGGAGGAUGUGAUACUAGCAUGGGAGAUGGCAGUUUUCCACAGAUGACAGUGAAUUGUAUAGCAAGGUGAUGGAUACCAUCACAAGGACAAACCAGCAAGGAGAUAAAAGAUACAAGAGCAGCCAUGCAGCAAGAAAUAAAUUGAAUUUAUUGGAUUACUCUUUACAGAUGUGGAUCACCAUGCCGUGUUUGAAGCUAUAGGGCUUUGCAAAGAAUUUUGCUUGAAGAGACCAGCAAACACCAGAGACUGAGAAAAGAAGCAUCAUGAGGUUCUCUGUUUUUCCCAGGCUUAAUACCCGUAAGGGGAAUCAGAUACCAUGUGCAUGCUCCUUUGCCUGUGAACAAUUUCUUCCUCACAUGUCUUAGUUUGUUCCUUCAGGUGAUUGACUUGUGGAGUGAGUCAUAAGUAUAGAGGUGCUGAGAAUCCGGAAAUAAUCUACGGAAGGAAGAAAUAAGGUAAUUAUGCCUAUACUUUAGUCUUGUAAAUCUUUAACAUUUGGCAGUGAAAGGAGCUGAAGUGUAUCACUGAAGUCUACCAUAAUCAGGUACAUUAUUAUGCAUACCUGGAAUGCUUUGAGGGGCAAAUGAAAGUCAAGAAAUGAACUGGGGAGAUGCGACUCCAGAAUUUCUAUUAGCAAUGAUUAGCUUUAUAUUUUUGCUUGCAUUCCUCUUGCAUGUAUCUGUGUGAAAAUGGUAACGCUUACUAUGUCAAUCUUUAAUAAGAUUGCAACGUUUUCACAUACAUAGUUUUUUCAUAUUACUUAUGCCAUUGUCUCCAAUGAGAACGCUCAUGUAAAAAGAUGAAUGAAAGUAUUUGGUUAUCUGUCAACUUUUUGCUUAAUCUGUCUACUCUAAAUUCUACUGCUGUCUGCCUUUAAAAAUCAGCAUUUCUGCAGCCUUUCCAGUUUCUUGACCUUUGUUAGUUGCUUUUAGAUUCAGAUUUGGAAAACACCAUGUACAGUCCUGCUCUUUCACAUUUUCUUUUUCUUAUCAUAAAGACAAGAAUGGUGUCAAUA